RNAcentral lists this ribosomal RNA (253 nucleotides) under uncultured bacterium. RNAcentral describes it as "partial 16S ribosomal RNA". It matches the Rfam family "Bacterial small subunit ribosomal RNA", at positions 524 to 776 of the family's 1533-position model. The record is from RNAcentral.
UACGUAGGGACCAAGCGUUGUUCGGAUUUACUGGGCGUAAAGGGCGCGUAGGUGGCGCCGUAAGUGGGGUGUGAAAUUUCGGAGCUUAACUCCGAAACUGCAUUCCAUACUGCGGUGCUUGAGGACUGGAGAGGAGACUGGAAUUUACGGUGUAGCAGUGAAAUGCGUAGAGAUCGUAAGGAAGACCAGUGGCGAAGGCGGGUCUCUGAACAGUUCCUGACACUGAGGCACGAAGGCCAGGGGAGCAAACGGG